GUCAGGUAUUAAGGGCUGUUGGGGAAUGUCUUGGCACUGUUUUGGCGAGGAAGGUCGUGAUAAGCUGCGAAAAGCGACGGGGAGCUGCAAAUAAGCUUUGAUCCGUUGAUUACCGAAUGGGGAAACCCGUAUGGAGUAAUGUCCAUACAUUAUGCACUGAAUCAAAUAGGUGUAUAAAGCUAACCGAGCGAAUUGAACCAUCUUAGUAGCUCGAGGAAAAGAAAUCAAACGAGAUUCCGAAAGUAGUGGCGAACGAAAUUGGAAUAGCCUAAACCAUUGAUGCUUGCAUUAAUGGGGUUGCAGGACUUUCGUAUAAGAGUUAUCAAGUUUAUUCAUAUAAGAAUCGUCUGGGAAGUCGAACCGUAGAGAGUAAAAGUCUCGUAAUUUAAAUGAAUAAGCCUCUUGAGAGUAUCCUAAGUAGGGUCAGACACGAGAAAUCUGGCUUGAAUCUGGGUGGACCACCAUCCAAGGCUAAAUACAAACAGUGACCGAUAGUGGACAAGUACCGUGAGGGAAAGAUGAAAAGAACCCCGGGAGGGGAGUGAAAUAGAACCUGAAACCAAUAGCCUACAAGCCGUAGGAGCUCUAUUUAUAGAGUAACUGCGUGCCUUUUGUUUAAUGAUCCGGCGACUUAUUGUAUGUAGCGAGGUUAAGUAAUGUAGUUACGAAGCCGAAGGGAAACCGAGUGUUAAAAGCGCGAUUUAAGUUGCAUGCAAUAGACCCGAAGCCGCGUGAGCUACCUAUGUCCAGGUUGAAGCUUUGGUAACACAAAGUGGAGGACCGAACUCACUAGCGUGAAAAGCUAGGGGAUGAGGUGUGGGUAGGAGUGAAAGGCUAAACAAACGUGGCGAUAGCUGGUUCUCUCCGAAAUAGCUUUAGGGCUAGCCUUCUAUGUUUAGUUUUGGUGGUAGAGCACUGAUUGGACUAGGGCCCUUCACCGGGUACCAAACCCAGAUAAACUUCGAAUGCCAAAACUUAAUAGUAGAGGAGUCAGACUGCGAGCGAUAAGGUCCGUAGUCGAGAGGGAAACAACCCAGAUCACAAGCUAAGGUCCCCAAUUAUAUGUUAAGUGGAAAAGGAAGUGAGGUGGCAAAAACAGCCAGGAGGUUGGCUUGGAAGCAGCCAUUCCUUUAAAGAGUGCGUAAUAGCUCACUGGUCGAGUUGCCUUGCACCGACAAUUCAACGGGGCUAAACAUAUAACCGAAGCUGUGAACUUGAUUUUUAAUCAAGUGGUAGGAGAGCGUUGUGUAUGCUGAUGAAGCAAGAUGGUAAUGUCUUGUGGAGGUAUCACAAGUGAGGAUGCCGGAAUGAGUAACGAUAAAACUGAUGAAAAAUCAGUUCGCCGAAAACUCAAGGUUUCCCGGAUAAAGGUAAUCUGUCCGGGGUUAGUCGGUCCCUAAGGUGAGGCUGAAAAGCGUAAUCGAUGGGAAACUGGUUUAUAUUCCAGUACCUCUUAAUUCAUCGAUGGGAUGACGCGGGAGAUGAAUCUAGACCCGAGCGUUGGUUGACUCGGGAGAGGAGACGAGUUUAUGAGAGCUAUAGUUAAAUGCGUAGCUUGAGAUGAGUCUCUGAAGGAGUGAAGUGAAAGCGGAAUGAAGCUAGAUAGUCAUACUGCCAAGAAAUAAUCUCUAAGAAUAUGUUUUAAGAGACCGUACCGUAAACCGACACAGGUGAGUAGGAAGAAUAUUCUAAGGCGCUCGAGAUAACUACUGUUAAGGAACUCGGCAAAUUGCAUCCGUAACUUAGGGAUAAGGAUGGCCUACUGGUUCAAUCCAGAGGUUGCAACAAAUUGGCCCAAGCGACUGUUUACCAAAAACACAUGACUCUGCGAACCAUUAAUGGGAAGUAUAGGGUCUGACACCUGCCCGGUGCUGGAAGGUUAAGAGGAGAGGUUAGCGCAAGCGAAGCUUUGAAUUGAAGCCCCAGUAAACGGCGGCCGUAACUAUAACGGUCCUAAGGUAGCGAAAUUCCUUGUCGGGUAAGUUCCGACCUGCACGAAUGGUG
RNAcentral lists this ribosomal RNA (2004 nucleotides) under termite gut metagenome. RNAcentral's name for it is "bacterial LSU rRNA". It matches the Rfam family "Bacterial large subunit ribosomal RNA", at positions 1 to 2001 of the family's 2925-position model. The record is from RNAcentral.